UGACGCAUCAGAAUCAGUGAGAUGUUGGCUUUCUCACCAGACGGCAUGGACACAGUCGGGGCUGAAAGCCGACAGCUGUCAUGGUCCUGAGUCUGCCGUCUCAGUGUUUUAUGUUUCUUUAUGCUUUCGUUAUUCUGAUUAGGUAUUUCAUUAUUAUUCGCCAUUUUGUUAGGUUUCUGUUCUGUGCCUGUCCUGGUCCUCCUUCCAUGUUCCCCCCGUCUGUCCUUGAUGUCAUUAUGCCUGUUUAUGAGUCUGCGUCUGUGUCUCUGUCUGUCUAUGGUGUCACACUGUCUGUUUGUGAAUCUGUCUGUUUAGUUCAGUGUCUUGUCCAGUUCUGUGUCUGUGAGUUUCCUGUUUUAUUCUGAAGGUCUCUGUCUCAUGUGAGUGUGUUCUGUUUACGUUUCCCCUGUCCUGUUCCCCGACAGCCUGUUACAAUGGUACGGUUACUGUAAACAGAUGCAUGCUCAGCUGUACUGGCUGCUGCUGCACUCACACUAGGAGACUGUCCAAUUACUACAAUAAUAGGAUGUCACAUUUUAAGUGAUGCUAUGCCAUAAUAAGGGUUGUUACAAUGUGCCUGUACAGACCUUAAUUCAUGUAACUUUUAAAAGUUGGGCUUCAGACCUGAGAUCUGUAUCUUCUUAUUGUUAUUUAUAUUGUUUAUUGGUGGUUAGCAAAUAGCAAAAUGGUGCAUUACCGCCACCAACUGGUGUGGAGUUUUAGAGCUGGUACCUUUGAGUUCAUCUUCCAUGAUUUUUCUAGACUCUCACAACACCCAUCCCCCACCUUACCAUCUAGCUUAUGACAUAGUCCCUUCUGAUUGGCUGCUGUCAGGGGCGGCAAUUUUUUUUUUCUGGCCAACAUCUUCAGUCUUCAAAUUUCAUCACGCUGGCAGCUCACUUCGAGGUAAGAGUUAAAACUAGAUGUUAUUUGUGAUGAUUUCUGUUUAAGUCCUAUUUGAAUGCUUUAUUUUAGUCUGUGAUUAUUUGCUACAGUGCUGUUUUAGAGUGGGGUCUUAAAGCAUUGUUUUUCUUUCUGUUUUUUAAAAGUGUUAUUAAGUGUGAAAUUUGCGAGCUAGCGGUAGGAAUUAGAAGAAACUGUAGAUAAACUACAGCUGAAAGUCGUAAAAAUAAAGUUAUCCUUUUUGUAUUCCAUUGUAAGCGAAAAUCCACUUUGACCGUAUAAGACCCUUUACAGUAAAAACUCAAAUGAUGUUUUUUCUAACACAACUCCGAUAUCGUAAGAACCAUACUACUGUCUUUAAAUCUCUGCAGAAUGACAUAAGUAAAUUUGCCAUAAGUAAAACGUGUAAUUUAAAAUGACACAUGAAAGUUACUCAUUUAAACAGUAAAAAUUUCACAUAAAAAUACUUUGUUAUGCCAUGGAAGUAUCUCAUUUAAAAUAAAAACCAAGCAAACUUGUUUUGAGUGAAAAUCCCCAAACAUUAUCAAUGGCAACAAUAAUAAUAAUACAUAAUAAUAGCAAUUUGAUCAUCCUUUCCUUUACAGUUUGAUCCAGGCAGUGAACCACAGAAUGAUGUUUCAGCAAAAGAACUGCUGCAUCUCAUCUAUGCCACUGAGGACAAGAUAUUUCAACAUAACGUUUGGGCUAUGGCUUUUGAUCUUCAUGGGAAUAUUGUACUCCCUGACCAAAGACUCAGUCUGUGCUCUAGAAAUAACCUCACACAUAAAAAACUAUUAUGUGGCAAGAGAUUCCAGUGUUACCCUUAAUUGUGAGUUUGUCCUUGAAUCUGAAAACUUGGGAUAUACGGAAAUAGAGUGGAACAUUGUGCCUUCAGAUAGACAGCAGGAUGACGAGAUCAUUAUCUGGUAUACUGGAGGUGUGUUAUACAGUAAUCUAUAUGAGCCGUUAAAGAAUAGGGUCCACUUUGCCUCUCCUGAUCCCCAAGAUGGUGAUGCAUCAUUAAGAAUCCUUGACCUGAAGCUGACAGAUAUGGGAACUUACCAAUGCAAGGUGAAAAGGUUACCUGAGUUUGGUAUGAAAAAUUUUAACCUGUUCGUAAUGGAGAGGCCAAGUACACCAGUAUGCUACAUAGAUGGUGAAGCAGAGGAAGGAAACAACCUCAGGAUGAAAUGUAGAUCCUCACAAGGUACUCCCCCUCUGGAUUACAACUGGUCUAAGGCAAACGGAAACAAGAUGUUGCCUCAAAGUGCCUUUGUUGACACUAAAGCUGGUGACUUGUAUUUACGCAAGAUCACAGAGAGUGACACUGGAACUUACAGGUGUGUGGUCGUAAGCCUUGUUGGUAUGGAAGUGUGUGAGGUUACACUCAGCUCCCCCUUAAAUCGUACAUCACCACAGACCAUUAACAAUGAAGUGUGUGAGGUUACACUCAGCUCCCCCUUAAAUCGUACAUCACCACAGACCAUUAACAAUGGAUCUGGAACAACAGCGGCAAUUGUUAUCAGUAUAAUUGUGAUGAUCAUCCUUAUCAUCACUGUCAUUCGAGUCAUUAUCUGCUACCGCAGAAAAAAGAAUGGAAAAGUGUUUGGCAAUGAAAUAUUGAUGGAUGAACUCCCUCCUCAAAAAUGCCUAUCAAUUAAAAGUCAUAACCUGGGGCCUGGAUCUUUGGAAAGCACCCAUAGUGUAAAGGUGAGAAAAUGUUAAUAUAUAGCACCAAUUCAUAACUGAAUGCUUGCUGUUGUACAUAAUAUGGUCUUUUUAACUUAAACUUACAAUUGUCUAAUUAAGUUGCAUAUGUUUCAAAAGGAUCUUAUGGCAGUGUAUGAAAACAUGGAUGCAGGGUUCAUGUGCAAGAACAAAGAGAAUAAGUUCAUGUUCGCUGAGGAGAAGGAUCUUCCAAAAAAGGUGGAUGACUCAGUCACAGUGGAUGACCAAGAUAUGCAACUUCCAGAACCCUGAGGACAAGCAAAUUGUUUAUACUGCUUUUGAGGAAGAAAUAUGUUUGUCCUUCAAAGCAAACAUAAUGUUAAUACUGUUCUCUUUCUGGUUUAGUGGUCUGUUACAACCAAUCUUUAAAGAUUAAAGCCUGAGUAACAAAAGAGGAUCAGCAUAGCCAUGGUCAAAAGUUUUGGGAGUGGCACAAAGUCUAAUUCUACUUUUCAUUCACUCUGCCAUUUCAGUUGUUAUUUAAAUAAGUUUUACAUACUUAGGUGAUCUAGUGAAGAACAAUCACAUUUGCUGAGAAAUAAAAAUGAAGUUUUACUUUUGGCCACUGCUGUAAUUGUCCUUGAGGACAAACAAACUUCAUUCUGUUUUUCAUGGAAAAAAUCAAAGUACUUGCCGAUAGCUGUGUACUAAAUGUUCGAAUAAAACAAAGAAACUUCAGAUAUGCGGAAUUCUUUUAUUGUGUUUUAUUGAAGAGAAAAUACAAAAAUCAUGUUUAAACAUGAUUUUAACAUAAGUUCUUUUUGGAAAUAAUUCCAGUGAAUGUAAGAAAUACAUAACUAGUUCUUUAGGAAAUACAUAAGUAUUGGGUGAAAAACAUUUGAAUUUAGGAUAUGGAUAGAAUGACCCAACAUUCCAAGUGCAGUAAAGACAUGUUGGGUGUUAUGAUCACAACACACCAAAAUCAUGUUGGAUAUGACCUAACAACAGGGUCUUGUAUUGACAAAUUGGGUUCAAUGAUGAGAUGUUGAGUUAAACGCAAAAUCUCAAUAUGAGACCCAACAGCUCUUUGCAAACCUCUUCUCAUUGUCUAUAUUGUCUGUAUUGUGAUGGUGGGUCACAGGGCUUGACUAUAUGUAGAUGUUGGGUCACACCUAAAUGUCAGUAUUGAACCUGAUAUCUCCA
Molecule: RNA transcript, 3774 nt
Organism: Oreochromis niloticus (Nile tilapia)
Lineage: Eukaryota; Metazoa; Chordata; Actinopteri; Cichliformes; Cichlidae
Gene name: coxsackievirus and adenovirus receptor homolog
Exons: 2
Source: RefSeq, a predicted model, not a curated record